Molecule: long non-coding RNA, 5122 nt
Organism: Ictalurus punctatus (channel catfish)
Lineage: Eukaryota; Metazoa; Chordata; Actinopteri; Siluriformes; Ictaluridae
Source: Ensembl
GGGAUAGCAUUGGGAUAGCAUUGGGAGACGCGGAAGGGGUAUCAUUGGGAUAGCAUUGGGAGACGCGGAAGGGGUAGCACGGGGAUAGCAUUGGGAUAGCAUUGGGAUAGUAUUGGGACAGUAUUGGGAUAGCAAUGGGACAUGCGGAUGGGGUAGCAUUGGGACAACACUGGGAUAGCACUGGGGCAUGCUCCUGUUAAAUAGCACCUAGUCAAAGCGGGUUUUAAAACGUAUCAUCAACUGAAAUUCACGAUCAGACUGAAAUAUAAACUAAAAUGCUAGUUUAAAGUAACGCACGUCGCUUUAAUGUAGUUGGCGUGCCUUCUUUGCGGGUUUAGACGUAGCAGCAGAGUAGGAAUCACGGUUAUAUAGAGGUAUGAACGUGAUCUCAUAAAGACACAACUCUGCUUAUUCAAAAUUAUUACUGACAGAAAUAACAAGAUCAUGUAAUUAUGUACAAUAUUACAGUCAUUUACUAUACCGCGUGAAGCAACGCUCAUGAAGUACAUACAUACAUACAUACAUACAUACUCGACCUUACCUGCAGAUACGUAAAAAAAGCAACCCAAUAAUAAGAAUAAAAACAGAAUCAUCAGGCCGGUCCAGUUUAACACCGCGCUUAAGAACAGUGUAGAGUUCCAGCAAAGAGAAAACUAGCGGUGUACAGAAACUUUCACUGAGGAAAAAACUUUUCGUUCAAACUGAAUAGGAAUACUGAAGGGGGAGUGGUGUUGGGUUGUUUAGUCAGCAGCCAAUUAGAAUUCACUAUUCAGAAACGUCACCAGUUCCUAAGCUGAAUUGAAUCUUCGCGGUUCCACUGCGAGCACGGAAGCGAUGUGUUGUAAUAUGAAUGCCGUAUAUUUGAAGUGUAUAAACGUCACAUUGUUACGGCUCUUCUUAUUUAAGGGGCGAGCAUUUCAGAGGACUGUGACUGACUGUAUUAGGAGUUUGACCACUCUGAAAGCAUCCAGGACCUUUGACCUUAAUUUACAUCAACACUUUAUAUUGUAUCCCGUCAUUGACUACAAAGGAUUUGCAUCAAAGUAUUAAAAAUAAUACUCAUAAUUGUCAACUUAUGCAAUAACAUUUGAGCCUGUGAAAAUAGAGGAACUGUCUAUAAAAUGUCUGUAAUUCCUAAACUGUUAAUGCAAUAUUUUAAAUGAAAUUUUCACUCAAAUCUUGAUUGCUUCCUUUCAAAUACAUUAUGUUGGUGUACAGAGGUAAAAUUAUGAAAAUUGUCACUGUCCAAAUACUUAUGGACCCGACGGUCUCAUCUGUGCUUCCCAUUUAAAAACCACCAGCUGGUUCCACAUGUUACUUCCCAGUUCCAUACUUACAUGUAAUGUCAUUUCUGAGCAUAAUUUCUCUCCACACACACACUGCAUCUGGUACAACAGGAAUACUCUAUGCAAAAAUUAAUCUUUAUACUUUAAAACUUGGUGUAAAUAUUUUGCUGGACAAUUAGUUAUUUAACAAAUAAGUAAUACUCUGAUGACUAAUCAUCUCAUUGUCCACCAUCAAAAAUGUAAGAUGCCUUGUUAAAAUAAAGAGUUGUUUUGUUAUGUGUGACAGUUUGGAUCCAUUAAGAGAGUAUAUUUUUAGCUAAGAAAACCUACAUGAUUAAGUUUUAGAUUUGAAUGUUAGAGCUAAUGCUAAUCCUCAUUUAGUAGCUAGCUAACGUUAACCAACACGUUUUAGAAUAAUAUUUAAAUUCUAUUUGAUCGAUCACUGCACGACGGUCAUUGAAAGCUAAAAAAAGUACCAUUUUAAAAUAUCAGUUUGAUAGUGUAAAUGACUGGCUAGCUGACUAGUUUGCAAGCUAAUGCUAAUCCUCAUUUUGUAACAUGGUCGAUCGGAGUUGUCAGGAUUUAACACUACGCUAUAAUACAGUAUUUUCUCGAGGCGAUUUUCAGGGCUGCAUUAGCAUGCCUCACUACACUGAAAGCCCCUGGUCACCGUUUAUUUUGUUGUCGAAAGGUAGCUUGCUGUGACAAUCUUUUGUUUUGCCUUGUGUGGGAGUCAUUAAUCACUGAUGCAUCAUAUCUAGCUAGAGCAAUCUUUUAGAGAUUUUAGCUAGGUAGUUUUCAUCUGUUAUUGCUAACACACAGUUUAUUGCUGCUAAUAGUGUGAAACUUGCUUCUGUUCUGUUUAUAAAGUAUCCUCGGUUAUUUAGGUUGGAUACGUGACGGGUCCUAAUUUUAAAAUGAUCUGUGGAGUUUGUGGACAUGAGCUAGUAGGAUCGAGGCACAUGUCCUUUCUAAACCUGAAGAUGCAGAGGAAGCAUUCCAAGAGAAUACCAGUGGACUCAUGUUUCGGAUCUGGUCAUUCGAGGGACAUGUCAUUUGUGAGUGACUCCUAUCUACAUUCCUGACUGGGCUUGCAACCUUGUUCUCAAUGUAUUAUGUGUUCAACUUACAGAACCAGGAGAAGGCCUCUUGUACUUUGGAGUUGCUGGCUCAAAUUUUGCCUAUUACCUGAAGACACUUAACAUAGAAACAGAUACUCACAUAUUCAAUUGGAGAAAGAAAAAUAAGACACCAGCUGUGAGUGAGAAGAAGCAAGGGUCCAGGUUUAUUCGUUCCAUUACACCACACGAGAUCCACACAGUUUGAGACGUCCCAAAAAAAAAAACAGAGCUGAAGCUCUUCCAUUUAUACAGUUUUCUUAGGGUCAGGAUGACCCAGACACCAAUGUGCCCUCCCACAAUACCAUUAUGUUUUAGAAAGAGCCCUUCCUGAACACCAUUAGGUUUUCGAAAGAGCCUUCCCAUAAUACCAAUAGGGUUAAAAAAAAAAAAAAAAGCUCAUCUACAUUACCAUGAUGUUUAAAAAAAGGCUAUCAAAUUUACCAUGGUGUUUUGAAAGAGGCUUAUCAAAUUUACCAGUAGGAUUGAAAGUGGGAGAAAGAGGAAACAAUUUUGAGAGACCUUGGUCUCAUGGGGGGGCUUGACUCAGCUACCCUUAUACAUGGCUUCUCAUGGUUAUUAAGGUUAUUAAAAUUAAGGCCCUCGGCUACACCAUGCUCGACCCUUCCCCGUGAGACAAGAAUCCUCACCAUCCGAAUUAUGAGUUAGCUAUGUGUGUGCGUUUCCUUAACUCUCUUUCUCUGUGACUAAUAAACCAUAAUGUUUUAAUCUUAAAAUGUGAAUCCAAUUCAAUAAAAUUACGUAUUACUCAUACUAGGUCUCCCUCGUGUUUAUUUCAUGUCAUUUUUAUCCACAACACCUUGUUCGUUAAAUCUAACUUUCUUUUUGCUCUUUGAAUGCCUUAUAUCCCUACCCUAAAAGUCACCAACUACUUGCUGUUGUGUACUUGCUGUGUUUCUAGGCGUGUCAAUGGGAUGAACCCAGAGCAGCGUUAAAUUUUAGCCGCGGCAAUGUGGUCUCAAAGAAGACAGGUAAAAUCAUCAACAAGAAAUCUUACAGUUAACCCUCGUGUCUCUACCUGAAGAAUCUCAUGGACUUUCAGUGGGACUUCAUUUAGGAAAGCACAUUUUCACAUGCUCUCACUAAUGCACUCACUGGUAGGGUGUGAUAUCAUAUGCUCUGCUUAUGUUUUAAAGUCAAUUGCCAAAGGCCAUCUUUGAGAUUGAGUCAAGUCUGUCUCCAGCCUAACCAGACAUUUAGUCCAGCAGAAAAAUUUGAAGUAUGUACAAUCCCCUCUGAAAGUAUUACAACAGCAGGGCCAAGCCUAUUGUUUUUUGCUAUAUACUGAAGACGUUUGGGUUUGAGAUCCAAAGAUGAAUGAGACAACGCAUCAGCAUUUCAGCUUUUAUUUUCUCAUAUUUACAUCUAGAUGCGUUCAACAAUUUAGAACAUUGCACCUUUUGUUUUUACCCACCCAUUUUUUUCCAAGUGAGUACCUGCCCAGGUGUGCCCUGUUAGAUUGACUGUUUAAAGAAGUAAUAGCUCUGAAUGUCUGUCGGUUUGAGCUCAAGGUUUCACCUGUGAAGACUGCAUUUGUUGUUAAAAUCCAUGAAGAUCAGAGAGCUGUCUAUGGGAGAAAAGCAAGUGAUUUUGAAGCUGACAAAAGAUGGAGAAUCAAUCAGCGGCAUUGCACAAGCAGUGGGCAUAGCCAAUACAACCAUUUAGAAUGUCCUGAAAAUGGAAAAGAAAAAAAAAAAAACCCAGGGUUGUACUAACACGAUAAAACCCCUAGUGUUGAAUUAACACCCAGAGUGUUCAUUUGUGUCCUGUGGAAUUUUGGGAUUUUGAUGUGAACCAUACAUCGAACGAGUCGGCCAAGGAAAACAACAACAGCUGAUGACAGAAACAUUGUGAGAGCUGUGAAGAAAAACCCAAAAACAGCAGUCAGUGACAUUACCAACAACCUCCACGUGGCAGGGGUUAAGGUAUCACAAUUCACCUUUCAAUGAUGACUUCAAGUACAGCAAUAUAGAGGCCACACCACAAGAUGCAGUCACUCAUCAGCAGUAAGAACCAGAAAGCCAGAUUGGAAUUCACAAAGAAAUACAGAGAUGAGCCACAAAAGUUCUGGAACCAACAUAAAAAGUAAUAGAAAGGCAAAAGUGUGGAGAAAAAAAUGCUCAAAAAGAAGGGCUCAUGAUCCAAAACAUAGAAGCUCAUCAGUCCAGCAUGGUGGAGGUAGUGUCAUGGCUUGGUCUUGCAUGGCUGCUUCUGGAACAUUCUCACUAAUGUUUAUUGACGAUGGAACUCAUGAUGGUAGCAGCAGAAUCAAUUCAUAAGUCUGUCUUCCAAUUUACAGACAAAUUCAUCAAAUCUAAUUGGAAGGAACUUCAUCAUGCAGUAGGACAAUGUCUCAAGACACACUACCAAAUCAACAACGGACUUCAUCAGAGGUGAAAACGUGAAGGUUUUAGACUGACCAAGUCAAUCACCAGACCUUAACCCAAUUGAACAGCAUUUCACAUCUUGAAGAAGGAGACUGAAGGAAGAAACCUCCCUGAAACAAACAAUAACUGAAAAAGGUUGCAGUUUAAGCAACACAACAAGCUGGAAAAGCAAGACAAAAGAAAAAUGCAACAGUUUGGUGAUGUCAGUGAGUCGCAGGCUUGGUGCAGUUAUUGCAAGCAAGAGAUAUGCAACCAAAUAUUAAGUGUGUUUAUUUUAAGACUCUGUUCCUAAACUUUUGCUCACCCAAAA